This 24-nucleotide non-coding RNA is filed under the name Arabidopsis thaliana (thale cress). The record is from RNAcentral. Lineage: Eukaryota; Viridiplantae; Streptophyta; Magnoliopsida; Brassicales; Brassicaceae.
AGGAGAGAUCUAAAUGGCAGGACA